ACAUACGACCAUAGACUGAGGAGAAUUGGGCAUCCCGUCCGCUCUGCCAUACACAAGCCUCAGAUCGGUAGAUUAGUAGUUGGGUGGGUGACCACCAGCGAAUCCCUCCUGUUGUAUGUA
RNAcentral lists this ribosomal RNA (120 nucleotides) under Sclerotinia sclerotiorum 1980 UF-70. The record is from RNAcentral. Lineage: Eukaryota; Fungi; Ascomycota; Leotiomycetes; Helotiales; Sclerotiniaceae.